RNAcentral lists this ribosomal RNA (253 nucleotides) under uncultured bacterium. RNAcentral describes it as "partial 16S ribosomal RNA". It matches the Rfam family "Bacterial small subunit ribosomal RNA", at positions 524 to 776 of the family's 1533-position model. The record is from RNAcentral.
UACGGGGGGGGCAAGCGUUGUUCGGAAUUACUGGGCGUAAAGGGCUCGUAGGCGGCCAACUAAGUCAGACGUGAAAUCCCUCGGCUUAACCGGGGAACUGCAUCUGAUACUGGAUGGCUUGAGAUUGGGAGAGGGAUGCGGAAUUCCAGGUGUAGCGGUGAAAUGCGUAGAUAUCUGGAGGAACACCGGUGGCGAAGGCGGGUCUCUGGGCAGUAACUGACGCUGAGGAGCGAAAGCGUGGGGAGCGAACAGG